RNAcentral lists this ribosomal RNA (117 nucleotides) under Jaculus jaculus (lesser Egyptian jerboa). Lineage: Eukaryota; Metazoa; Chordata; Mammalia; Rodentia; Dipodidae. The record is from RNAcentral.
ACAUACAUAUAUAUGUAUGUAUAUGUAUAAUCUCGUUUGAUCACAAAAGCUAAGCAGGGUUGGGCCUGGUUAUCACUUGGAUGGGAGACUUCCUGGGAAUACCAGAUGCUGUAGGUA